GUUCUUGUAGUUGAAUAACAACAGUGGUUUUUCAUAUCACAGGUCAUGGGGUUUAAUCCGUGCAGGAAUU
Non-coding RNA from Chrysochloris asiatica (Cape golden mole), 70 nucleotides. Lineage: Eukaryota; Metazoa; Chordata; Mammalia; Afrosoricida; Chrysochloridae. The record is from the annotation of a RefSeq genome assembly.